GGGCCAAUAGCUCAGUAGGUUAGAGCAUCGGACUCAUAAUCCGCAGGUCGGUGGUUCGAGCCCACCUUGGCCCA
RNAcentral lists this transfer RNA (74 nucleotides) under Caudoviricetes sp. RNAcentral describes it as "tRNA-Met". It matches the Rfam family "tRNA". From Rfam's summary of the family: Transfer RNA (tRNA) molecules are approximately 80 nucleotides in length. Their secondary structure includes four short double-helical elements and three loops (D, anti-codon, and T loops). The record is from RNAcentral. Lineage: Duplodnaviria; Heunggongvirae; Uroviricota; Caudoviricetes.